UUCCGGUUGAUCCUGCCGGACCUGACUGCUAUCGGAUUGAUACUAAGCCAUGCGAGUCAUUGUAGUAAUACAAGGCAGACGGCUCAGUAACGCGUAGUCAACCUACCCUAUGGACGAGGAUAAUCUCGGGAAACUGAGAAUAAUACUCGAUAGACCAUUAUGCCUGGAACGGUUUAUGGUUAAAAUGAUUCGUCGCCAUAGGAUGGGACUGCGGCCUAUCAGCUUGUUGGUGAGGUAAUGGCCCACCAAGGCGAUUACAGGUACGGGCUCUGAGAGGAGAAGCCCGGAGAUGGGUACUGAGACAAGGACCCAGGCCCUAUGGGGCGCAGCAGGCGAGAAAACUUUGCAAUGUGCGAAAGCACGACAAGGUUAGUCCGAGUGAUUUCUGCUAAAGAAAUCUUUUGCAAGUUAUAAAACCACUAGUGAAUAAGGGGUGGGCAAGUUCUGGUGUCAGCCGCCGCGGUAAAACCAGCACCUCAAGUGGUCAGGAUGAUUAUUGGGCCUAAAGCAUCCGUAGCCUGCUCUGUUAGUUUUCGGUUAAAUCCAUGUGCUCAACACAUGGGCUGCCGAAAAUACUGCAGGGCUAGGGAGUGGGAGAGGUAGACGGUACUCAGUAGGAAGGGGUAAAAUCCUUUGAUCUAUUGAUGACCACCUGUGGCGAAGGCGGUCUACCAGAACACGUUCGACGGUGAGGGAUGAAAGCUGGGGGAGCAAACCGGAUUAGAUACCCGGGUAGUCCCAGCUGUAAACGAUGCAGACUCGAUGAUGCAUUGGCUUAUUGCCAAUGCAGUGUCGCAGGGAAGCCGUUAAGUCUGCCGCCUGGGAAGUACGUACGCAAGUAUGAAACUUAAAGGAAUUGGCGGGGGAGCACCACAAGGGGUGAAGCCUGCGGUUCAAUUGGAGUCAACGCCGGG
RNAcentral lists this ribosomal RNA (914 nucleotides) under uncultured marine archaeon. RNAcentral describes it as "bacterial SSU rRNA". It matches the Rfam family "Archaeal small subunit ribosomal RNA", at positions 1 to 922 of the family's 1478-position model. The record is from RNAcentral.